UAAUAAUACACUUAUUUAAUUUAAUUAUUUUAUGUGUAAAAAGACUAUUUUAUUAGUCUCGGAUUUAAAUUUAUGAUGCGAGAAGUAUUAGUUAAAAUAUUAUAGUUUCGAGAAUGCUAGUAAACACGUGAGUUAUAUCGUGUGAGCCAGUUGUUUAAAUAUCAAUAUGUGCGUUAACCUGAGAACUGCGUUUAUACGAAAUAUAUGGUAGAUGCGAAUAACUGCUACGUUUUAGCCGGGAUGAUUAUUUUUGUUUUCAUUAUUUUAUUCGGGGUUUGAUUAUAAAAUAUUAAAAUAAUGAGUGAUUUAUUUAUUUAAUUAUUUUAUAUAAUAAUUAAUUAUAUUUUUCGCGUUUAUUACGAGAAAAAUAGGAAUCGAGCGGAGCAUAGCAUGACGGAACUUGAAGCCAAACUACAAGACUUGGGGCGCAAUUUUUAAGACUUGGUGCCCAAGUGUAAUUCGUGGUGGCCAAGUAAAAAUUUGAUUAAGCAAUAAACUAAAGAGGUCAUUAAGAGUUAAUUAAUAAUAAUAAUUUAAUGGUAAUUAGGAUUAUUGGAGCAGUAUAUAAACCAAGAUCUUGGGUUGUGAAAAGUUUUGUUUUAGCGAAGGAAUAAACUACGGAAGGGAAAGAAGCUCACCUAGAUUGAUUAUCUGGAAGACGAGCUUGAUUAUUCAACUUAAAUUGGAACGUGGUGCACUGGAAGAAUUUUGGAGAAGGACAUUCAAGCAAGGGUAAAAGUGUGAUGAAUCGAAGUGCUAGACUUGGUUGGAUUUGCGGGUAGAACUUGAGUAGAAAUAUUAUGUAAUCGAAAGAAAUAUUUGUGAACUUUUAGAAGAGUGAUGUAAGACUCUGAUGUAAGGUAACAUAUGCCUUUAAGUUAUAUCAAAUUUAAGAUUAUGAAGACAUUUCGGUGUGUUUAGUA
Long non-coding RNA from Daucus carota subsp. sativus, 923 nucleotides. RefSeq lists it as uncharacterized. The transcript is spliced from 3 exons. Lineage: Eukaryota; Viridiplantae; Streptophyta; Magnoliopsida; Apiales; Apiaceae. The record is from RefSeq and is a predicted model, not a curated record.